AAGACUGCUCUAGCUUGUUCCCUGCCAGGCCACCCAGCUGACAAGGAUUUGUCACCCACAGUAGUGCAGGACUUGCAGCUCCAAGUGCCAGCUGGAGAGUCACACCAGGGCAGUAUACCUAUCCAACCAAAGUGCGCUCUCUGAGGGUCAGUCCAGGGAAGAUGGAAAUCUCCCGUGGAGGAGAAGGGUAAAAGCUCACCUGAUAUUAAUUUUCAGUUUGUUUUGUGAAAGACGGGCUUUACAGUAUUUCCAACCUUUUGUUUAGUAAGCAGGAGAUGUCAAGGAUGACAGGUAGUCCAAGUGCUUAUAAUGACACAAAAAUGGAAAAUUGAACUUUAAAAUUGCUUUUUUGUCUUUGUGCCUGCUCUUAUUUUCAGUGUGAGGCAGAAUUCACCAAGCUCUGGACUGUUCCCCUGCUAACAAGGAAUGUGACUUGGCUUUUGGCUGUUGUAAGAAUGCUUAGUU
RNAcentral lists this non-coding RNA (465 nucleotides) under Podiceps cristatus (great crested grebe). RNAcentral describes it as "Eukaryotic large subunit ribosomal RNA". It matches the Rfam family "Eukaryotic large subunit ribosomal RNA", at positions 2530 to 2988 of the family's 3401-position model. The record is from Rfam by way of RNAcentral. Lineage: Eukaryota; Metazoa; Chordata; Aves; Podicipediformes; Podicipedidae.